CACUCCUGCGGGAGGCAGCAGUGGGGAAUAUUGCACAAUGGGCGCAAGCCUGAUGCAGCCAUGCCGCGUGUAUGAAGAAGGCCUUCGGGUUGUAAAGUACUUUCAGCGGGGAGGAAGGCGAUAAGGUUAAUAACCUUGUUGAUUGACGUUACCCGCAGAAGAAGCACCGGCUAACUCCGUGCCAGCAGCCGCGGUAAUACGGAGGGUGCAAGCGUUAAUCGGAAUUACUGGGCGUAAAGCGCACGCAGGCGGUCUGUCAAGUCGGAUGUGAAAUCCCCGGGCUCAACCUGGGAACUGCAUUCGAAACUGGCAGGCUAGAGUCUUGUAGAGGGGGGUAGAAUUCCAGGUGGAGCGGUGAAAUGCGUAGAGAUCUGGAGGAAUACCGGUGGCGAAGGCGGCCCCCUGGACAAAGACUGACGCUCAGGUGUGAAAGCGUGGGGAGCAAACAGGAUUAGAAACCCGGGUAGUCCC
This 471-nucleotide ribosomal RNA is filed under the name uncultured organism. RNAcentral describes it as "partial 16S ribosomal RNA". It matches the Rfam family "Bacterial small subunit ribosomal RNA", at positions 334 to 797 of the family's 1533-position model. The record is from RNAcentral.